Paramuricea clavata is the source of this 476-nucleotide non-coding RNA. The record is from the annotation of a GenBank genome assembly. NCBI's taxonomy places the organism in Eukaryota, Metazoa, Cnidaria, Anthozoa, Malacalcyonacea, Plexauridae.
AGGGACCGGUCAUUAAAUAUGGCAAGGGGGGGGGGGAUGGAGGAGAAACUAGAAAUUUUGAAAAAAAUUUUGGGACCCCCCUCAAAAAUUAUAUGCCUUUUCAAGGCCCCCCUUAUGCAUUUUAUACUUUUUAAAGACCCCCCCCCCUCUUGUACCGCUUGAAAAUAUAGUUUUGUAUUGAUGGCUGGCCCGAUUAGGACAAACUUAGGAGAGCAAGUGAUCAAUGAAGAGUAUUAAAAGAGGUAUAAAAUUUGAUGAAACUAGUUAAAUAAAUAUUUUACAAUCUAUUUAGGUAGGUUACUCUAUGGCCUAUGCUUGUCUCGCCUACAUCCACUUUUAUAUUAUGUUUUUUAUGCUUUACUCGUUAUGUUAAUACCCAGUGUUCCAGUUUAAAGGGCAUUUUAUGCAUCUCUUUUGGCUGUUCAUAGUAUAUAACGAGAAACAAUCCUUUUGUUGGGAAAAAUCCGAAGACCCCC